Molecule: ribosomal RNA, 464 nt
Filed under: uncultured bacterium
Lineage: Bacteria
Description: bacterial SSU rRNA
Rfam family: Bacterial small subunit ribosomal RNA
Source: RNAcentral
UUACGGGAGGCAGCAGUAGGGAAUCUUCCGCAAUGGACGAAAGUCUGACGGAGCAACGCCGCGUGAGCGAUGAAGGCCUUCGGGUCGUAAAGCUCUGUUGUUAGGGAAGAACAAGUAUCGGAGUAACUGCCGGUACCUUGACGGUACCUAACCAGAAAGCCACGGCUAACUACGUGCCAGCAGCCGCGGUAAUACGUAGGUGGCAAGCGUUGUCCGGAAUUAUUGGGCGUAAAGCGCGCGCAGGCGGUCCUUUAAGUCUGAUGUGAAAGCCCACGGCUCAACCGUGGAGGGUCAUUGGAAACUGGGGGACUUGAGUGCAGAAGAGGAAAGCGGAAUUCCACGUGUAGCGGUGAAAUGCGUAGAGAUGUGGAGGAACACCAGUGGCGAAGGCGGCUUUCUGGUCUGUAACUGACGCUGAGGCGCGAAAGCGUGGGGAGCAAACAGGAUUAGAUACCCUUGUAGUC